Molecule: ribosomal RNA, 214 nt
Filed under: uncultured prokaryote
Description: partial 16S ribosomal RNA
Rfam family: Bacterial small subunit ribosomal RNA
Source: RNAcentral
UACGAGGGGUCCUAGCGUUGUUCGGAAUCAUUGGGCGUAAAGAGCUCGUAGGUGGCUUAGUAAGUCAGGUGUGAAAGCCCAAGGCUCAACCUUGGAAGUGCACUUGAAACUGCAUAGCUUGAGUACGGUAGAGGUAAGUGGAAUUCCUGGUGUAGUGGUGAAAUACGUAGAUAUCAGGAGGAACAUCGGUGGCGAAGGCGGCUUACUGGACCAG